RNAcentral lists this microRNA (22 nucleotides) under Magallana gigas (Pacific oyster). RNAcentral describes it as "Mgi-Mir-252-P2_3p* (star (passenger))". Lineage: Eukaryota; Metazoa; Mollusca; Bivalvia; Ostreida; Ostreidae. The record is from RNAcentral.
CCCAUGGAUCAAGUAUUUAAUA